Molecule: long non-coding RNA, 3319 nt
Organism: Ailuropoda melanoleuca (giant panda)
Lineage: Eukaryota; Metazoa; Chordata; Mammalia; Carnivora; Ursidae
Exons: 8
Source: RefSeq, a predicted model, not a curated record
UUGAAAAGUCCUCCUCUUCCUUCUCUCUUUCCUCGCCCCUCCUCUUUGUUCCGCUCUGCGGGGAAAGAGACCCCGGGCCUGGCGUCGCGGGUGCGGAGAGGACAGCGGGCCGGGCGCAGGUUCAUGUUGGAGGAGGUCAUCGAGAGCCUGUGACCACCAAUUGACCUGUGAACUGGACCCCAGCAAUUACAGCUCCUCAUCCCCCCACCCUGUCCUUGGAAUGUGCGCUCUACUUGUCUUCACCAGGCUAGAAGCUGCCCACGGGCACAGACUUGAAAUAGUAACAUGCUGUUGAAACCUUAUGGAUGUUGUAUGUGACAGUCCAUGUAAGGCCUCUGUAUAAAUUUUAAGAUUUUGGUGUUGGGUGUGGAGAUGUACUCACAGUCUGCAAUUGCCCAAGACAAGCUAUGUAUCAGCUCCUGUAGGUUCUGUCCUGACCACACAUCACCCUCUCCAGGGUGGCCUCCCCGGUCUAAGCCAGCAUCGGUCUCACCUGGAUUUCGGCUGCCAUCCCAUCCUCACUGCUUCCACUCUUGCCCCUUCAAGAGAAAGUAUAAAUCAGCUCUCAUCACUCCACUGAUUAAAGUCCUCCGAAGACUGCCCAGCUGCAAUUACAGCAAUUCCCAAACAUCUUGCCUCGGUCUUCCGACUCAUCUCCACGAGUGCUGAUCAACCUAGGGGUGAAACUGAAAAUAAAACGAAGUCCUUGGAUCCGAUACCCGAUGCUCCUCCGGAGUUUAAUUCCCACUUUAUACCUGUGACCAAGUUAAUUAAACUGACCCCCGAUUGGGGGAGAGCAGUGUGAGAACCAGAUGAUUAGGAUAUGAAGAAGUGAUUGGGUUAGCAACAGCAGGUCUUCAAGUCACCAUUUUGAAGAAUCCCCAUGACCUACUGUCCCUCCACUUGCGUACUACCCAGGAAGCUUGCUUAUGGGAUACUACAGUCUACAUCAGCUCAGUACCUUCCGCUCAUACCAGCCAACUAGUGGCACUCAUCCUACAUAUAUGGUACCAGCCUGGCAGAUGUCCAGUGUUAAAUCAGUCUUCUCCAACAGCAUGGAUGCCAGAGCCAAUUCCUGUGGCAAACUGCCCUCCUGGUCUGGAAUACUUAUUAGCUCAGACUUUUGAGAUCAUAUGAAGGAUAUCGGGACUCCUCAGAGAAAUUCUGUCCAACACAGCAGGUUUACAUGGCUUCUGAGCGUUGAGUUUGCCAGCAACUCCACUAGCUCCUCAAGGAACUGCUCCUUAAUAGCCACCGUGUCUUAUUAGUGAUGACAUCUUUUGAAACUAAUAACAGAUAUGAUAUUAAAAACAACCUGGACCAAAUGGUUUAACAUUGUAACUGAAGACACAGACAACUUUACCAGAAAUGCUUAUCGGACACUAAGGCCCUUCGUCCUCCAGGUCACCAACUGUAUGGGCUGAGAAAUCAUGACAACGCAGAGACCUUUCAGAUGCACCUGCUGUUGCCUCUGUUGUCCCUCCUCCAGGCAAGAGGUCAGAGAAUGCAGGUCUUAUCCCUGGUUUCUUCCUGAUCCAAGUCUUCACUUGCACGCUUGUGCUCCUUCCAGAAUGACAAUGAGGGGAUUUUCACUGGGUCUGCUGGUCAGCAUGAAAGAAGGGAGUGGGGAGGAAGGAGGCCACAUUGUUUCACCCAAGGAAAAUCACAGAGGGCUUUUUCUUGUGGGCUCUUGUCUUCUGGCGGGUCAGGCACAAAUUAGGGUAUUUAUUCGGUGACCACAAUUUUGUCACUUGUAUCUACUGAAUUGGAAAUGUAUCUGUGACCUAGAAUAGAAGUCACGUACAUGUGUCUAAAUGUACCUACAUAUCCUCAGGUAAGAUGUCCCUAGACAUCAUCGAAUGCUUUUAGAAUCGGAAGAGACCUUGGAUGACUUUAGACUCCCCAUCCCAGUCCAUACCUUGCCACAGAUAAAGAAGGGGUGGCUCAGAAAGAUGAGGUGCCUGUUGAGGGUGUUACAGGCCCCUGAGUGCUGGACCUAGAGAGCUGAUGUUCUGAGUUACAGUCCGGUUGCUCUCUACAGCCUGCACGGCUCUAGGAAGUUAUUCGCUGCAGGGAAAUGAAGCAGCCUUAGUGAGAGGUCCACCAGAAUUUUGAAUUCUAGGGGCGCCUGGGUGGUACAGCGGUUGAGCAUCUGCCUUCGGCUUAGGGCGUGAUCCUGGCGUUAUGGGAUCGAGCCCCACAUCAGGCUCCUUCACUAUGAGACUGCUUCUUCCUCUCCCACUCCCUCUGCUUGUGUUCCCUCUCUUGCUGACUGUCUCUCUGUCGAAUAAAUAAAUAAAAUCUUUAAAAAAAAUUUUUUUUUGAAUUCUAGAUAUGUCACCUACUUAAAUUGUGCAAUUUACUUAACUUCUUUGGGGCUGCGUGCUCUUGUACAUAAAAUAUGCACAACUAUAUCCCAUAGGAUUAUGGGGAUAUUUAGAAGACACAGUAAGUGCCAGCACUUACUAAAUGUUAAUUUAUUUACAACCCUCUCUGUGUUUGAUUUCCUAUAAGAUGGUGAUAAUAAUAGCAGCUAUCACACAGGAUUGCUUUGAGGAUUAAAGAGUAAUAAGUAAAUGUCAACUGUUCAUUACAGUACCUGGCAAAUAGUACAGUGCCUCAGAGAAUGUUGUUGCCAGGUCUUACUCCUCUCUCGUUACUGUUUUUGUAAUAAUAGCCUGAUAUUUGAGAUGAAUCUUCACCUUUAAUCCUUAAUCCUUUUGGAUUCAUAUUCCUUAGUUGGGGUUUUUUCUCGAAUCCUAUAAAUGCAGCCUUCCAUAAGUAAAGUAAGCCAUGAUGUAGUAAAGUUAAUCAAAAUUACAAAUAUACUCAAUUUAUAGAACAUUUAUCUCAUGAUAGAUUUUUCUCAUUUCUCCAAUUUUAUUUGUAGUCUUGUGUGUGUGUGUAUUCAGUUUUGUGAGGUUUGAUCACCUCUGUCGGUUCCAGUGUCCACCACACAAUGCAGAUACCCGACAAUUCAAUCACCACAAAAAUUCCCCUUUAUAACCACGCCCAUCAUAGAAUUAAAGAAGGAACUGGCCGUUUCAUAGCAAGUGACAAGCAAGCCUCCCCUGUCCUGAGGAAAACAUGACUUCAUCCCUCAAGGUUGCUCCCUCCAAUGACAGCCCUGAGAAUUGGCCGCGGGAAGGCGCAGUCAGAGCUUCGCAUUGCUGGCACACACAGCAAGAAGUUUAGAAGUGUGAGGGGCCCAUGGAGGACUCUCUCUCAACAAUUUCCUUAGCCCUUAAAGGAUUUCAGAGCACAUCUAGGUGGUGUGUACAUGUAUAGAUCUGUGCAUAGCUUCCUCCCCUCUGUCACA